This 492-nucleotide ribosomal RNA is filed under the name uncultured bacterium. RNAcentral's name for it is "partial 16S ribosomal RNA". It matches the Rfam family "Bacterial small subunit ribosomal RNA", at positions 29 to 507 of the family's 1533-position model. The record is from RNAcentral.
AGUGAACGCUGGCGGUAUGCCUAACACAUGCAAGUCGAACGGCAGCACAGUAAGAGCUUGCCCUUACUGUUGGCGAGUGGCGGACGGGUGAGGAAUACAUCGGAAUCUACUUUUUCGUGGGUGAUAACGUAGGGCAACUUACGCUAAUACCUCAUACGACCUACGGGUGAAAGCAGGGGAUCUUCGGACCUUUCCCGAUUCAAUGAGCCGAUGUCGGAUUAGCUAGUUGGCGGGGUAAAGGCCCACCAAGGCGACGAUACGUAGCUGGUCUGAGAGGAUGAUCAGCCACACUGGAACUGAGACACGGUCCAGACUCCUACGGGAGGCAGCAGUGGGGAAUAUUGGACAAUGGGCGAAAGCCUGAUCCAGCAAUACCGCGUGAGUGAAGAAGGCCUUCGGGUUGUAAAGCCCUUUUGUUGGGAAAGAAAAGAAGCAGGUUAAUACCCCGCUGUUCUGACGGUACCCAAAGAAUAAGCCCCGGCUAACUUCGUG